Molecule: small nuclear RNA, 106 nt
Filed under: Tupaia belangeri (northern tree shrew)
Lineage: Eukaryota; Metazoa; Chordata; Mammalia; Scandentia; Tupaiidae
Source: RNAcentral
AUGGUCACUUAAGCAGUAUAUAUACUAAACUGGAAUGAAACAGAAAAGAUUAGAAUGGCCCCUGCACAAGGGUAAUAUGCAAAUUUGUGAAGCAUUAUAUAUUUUG